Molecule: ribosomal RNA, 329 nt
Filed under: uncultured bacterium
Lineage: Bacteria
Description: bacterial SSU rRNA
Rfam family: Bacterial small subunit ribosomal RNA
Source: RNAcentral
UGCGCAGGCGGUUGUGCAAGACCGAUGUGAAAUCCCCGGGCUUAACCUGGGAACUGCAUUGGUGACUGCACGGCUAGAGUGUGUCAGAGGGGGGUAGAAUUCCACGUGUAGCAGUGAAAUGCGUAGAGAUGUGGAGGAAUACCGAUGGCGAAGGCAGCCCCCUGGGAUAACACUGACGCUCAUGCACGAAAGCGUGGGAGCAAACAGGAUUAGAUACCCUGGUAGUCCACGCCCUAAACGAUGUCAACUAGUUGUCGGGUCUUAAUUGACUUGGUAACGCAGCUAACGCGUGAAGUUGACCGCCUGGGGAGUACGGUCGCAAGAUUAAA